UGAGGAAUUUUGGUCAAUGGACGAGAGUCUGAACCAGCCAAGUAGCGUGCAGGAUGACGGCCCUAUGGGUUGUAAACUGCUUUUGUUUGGGAAUAAUCGACAUUACGUGUAAUGUUUUGCAUGUACCAUUCGAAUAAGGACCGGCUAAUUCCGUGCCAGCAGCCGCGGUAAUACGGAAGGUCCAGGCGUUAUCCGGAUUUAUUGGGUUUAAAGGGAGUGUAGGCGGUUGGUUAAGCGUGUUGUGAAAUGUAGAUGCUCAACAUCUGACUUGCAGCGCGAACUGGCUGACUUGAGUACACACAACGUAGGCGGAAUUCAUGGUGUAGCGGUGAAAUGCUUAGAUAUCAUGAAGAACUCCGAUUGCGAAGGCAGCUUACGGGAGUGUUACUGACGCUUAAGCUCGAAGGUGCGGGUAUCGAACAGG
RNAcentral lists this ribosomal RNA (424 nucleotides) under Verrucomicrobiota bacterium. RNAcentral's name for it is "Verrucomicrobia bacterium partial 16S ribosomal RNA". It matches the Rfam family "Bacterial small subunit ribosomal RNA", at positions 355 to 776 of the family's 1533-position model. Lineage: Bacteria; Pseudomonadati; Verrucomicrobiota. The record is from RNAcentral.